RNA transcript from Panicum virgatum (switchgrass), 3324 nucleotides. RefSeq lists it as uncharacterized. The transcript is spliced from 4 exons. The record is from RefSeq and is a predicted model, not a curated record. NCBI's taxonomy places the organism in Eukaryota, Viridiplantae, Streptophyta, Magnoliopsida, Poales, Poaceae.
GGCUUCUUUCCGAAAACAGUCGCACCUCCCCCUCCCGUCGUUUCAUUCAAAAAAAAAAAAAAACAUCGCAACCCUCCCGUACAUCGGCGCCGCUACCUGUCUCCGGACCCCGUCCGCGCCUCCGCUCCAUCCCGGUGUGCUGCCUCUCCCCAUCCCCGGCUACCGUCCGCACCUCCGCUGCUCCGUCCCCGGCCGCCGCGCCGUCCGCAGGCUGCCGGCGGCUCUGAUCCGUCAUGUCCCCCACCGGAUCGGGUUACGGGACGCCUCCCCCGACCCCGACGCACCACGGCUCGCCGCCGGCCGCCACCGCCGAGAUCCAGUGGACACGCCCGCCACGGACACCCCCGAGACGCGGGGCUCUCGCUGCCCCGCCGCUGCGCCACAAACCCAGACGCGCGAGGUGGAGAUCCGUGCCAGGAGGCUCCUCCGUCCUCCCCCUCGCUCUCCGUCCUCCAAGAUCCGGGCGCCUCCGGCCUCCCUCGUGCUCCAUGGCUCUCCGUGCGAGGUCCACGGCCCACCGGGCCGACGACCAAGAAUCGUGCCGUCGAUCGACCGUCGAUCGUCCGGACCGCUGCUUCCACCUCAAUCGUUGGCUUCUGGCAGAUCCUCGUAGACAUCUAGAAGCAGAUCCUACUGCUACACUGCAGUACCCAACGUUGAAGGAACUGAGCAUCAUCGACAGGCUUAAGUUCAUGGCAUUUGUCCUCGGCUGUCACCAGAUUGCCCACCCGCGCUUAGGAUUUCUGCUCUACUCCAAGGUUGCCGCUUCUUACUACUGAUCUCCUGCUAUUCGUGUCAUUGUGAUUAUUUGUUAGAGUGCUUCCCUAUGGCCUAUACAGUUUGGUUUUUGUUUGGCGUUGGACAUGGGAUUGAGGCAAAGAUGUUAUUAGGAUUUUAUUUAGAUAUAAGUAUAGUCUGGAAGCUCAAGAGAAAAUGUCAACUCUAUUCCGUUCAGUAAAUCCUACUAAUUCAGUAGUCCUAAUGGCAGGUUUUAUAUCAUGUAGGCGUCCCUUUCUGUCUAAAUUAAACCAUAAGAAAUAUCAAUGCAAUGCCUUGAUAUUUAGACAGCAUGUGCAUGCUAUGAAAUAUCAAUUCACUGUGAAGGGGAGGAGCGCAUGUGCAUGGUCAGCCUGUGUGCAGUUGGUCAAUAUCAAUGAAAUAUGCUAUGAAAUAUCAAUUCACUGUGUGCAGUUGGUCAAUUCACUGUAAACUUGGAUUAGAGGCAGGAACUGAAGCAAAAAAUGUUUAUCAUGUUGGGCAAGUCGUCAAAUGUAGAAUUAUCAUUGUGUUCCCUGCUUCAAGGAGAAUAAAUGUUAGUUUCAUCGUAUCUCAUAAUAGCAAGGAACAUGGCAUUGCAUCUCAUACUUGGGAAAUGGAAGAUCAGAUCUAAAGUGUGGUUAUCUCAUUCUCAUAUCAUGCUGAGGCACUAGCAAGGGGAAUUGUUCUUGUCGGUGCCGAACUGCUGAUGAGGAGAUCCUCGCACCUGUUCUGCCACUGCACCAAUGAGCACUUCCCUACAUAUUCCGUGUGGCUAUCCGACAAGGGGAUCCGCAACUGCACUUUUGUGCUGACCAAAGGUAAGGCUUCCUUUCCUCUUCUUCUUUCCCCUGCCAUGGGUAUGGAUCAAUGAGUGCUUCCCAUUUGUUCUUUCUGAUUUUUAACACAUAAUAAAUGUUGUUGAAAUUUAUUUGGUAACCUACUGAAUCUGAAUCCAUUGCUCAUGUCUAAUUAUUGCAUUGGUUUUCCAAUACAUGUAUGCUGUUGAAGAAAAAAGAAAUAGGAAUAAUUUGUUUUGUUCUUCCUUAUUCCCACCUUAAAAUGAGUUUAAUUAACUUUGUACCACAUAGAUUUUUAGGGACAAAGGGUGAGAACUCAGGGCUCCAAAAAUGUUAGGGAAAAAUGCUGACAACUUUGGAAUGUGCCAGUCCGUACAUCUUUUUCACUAUUGUUUUUGAGACAUGAGAUUAUGAUUUCAUAAAUCUUGUGUGUUUCUUUCUACUGCCAUUGCUGAUCAGAUUCUUUGUCACGGCAUUCAGAAGUGUUGGCGGGCCUGCAGGUGAGUAGUAAAUGCAUUAAUGCUGUUUGCAGUGUGUACUGUGUAGCACUGUAGCCUAUGUUGAUCCUUGGUGUUGUUUCCCCUAGCUGCAGGUGUGUUUUUGUUUGCAGUGGUAUUUGUUAGGGUAGGGUCGGCAAGUUCCAUAGAGUAGAAUUUGAUUCACGAUUAAUAAGAAUAGCUCGUGUGCUUGGAGGGAUUUCCGGGUCAAAUAAAAAAAAUCUAUAGACUUUCUUUUAGCUAACUAGCAUUGACCAUGCAAGAAGAUUGGCGUUGUUUUUCUCUAGCUUGUUGUUGAUGAAGGUUAGCAUAUUUCCUCGAUUUUCUGAGUAAGAAAAGAAAAUUUGUGACAUACAAAACAUCUUUUCCUUGGGGACUGGAGGAACUGACAAACAGUGCAGAUACUACUUGGUUAUAUCUAGUGUACUUAAGAAUGCGAGUUGGUUUUUGACUACCUUGUUUGGUUAACAUUUUAUAAUAGAGGAAAUGCAGUAAUACUAUUAUGGUUGUACUCAAAACUUUGAUGCAUUUUGCUUUGCCACCAGGGCUGGGCUUUGGGUGGAGAACAAGCUCAGACAGGACGUAGAUAUUCACAUGAAUGAAUGCUCAUCUUCGGUGAUGGUGGUUUCAUUUUACCACGAUAAACAUACCAUAAAAAUCUGGAUGUUAUAGAGUAAUAGCUAGCUUGACAAUGUUUAUGAAAUAGCUAGAGUGAAAGUGUUUAUGUCAUUAUUUAAAAUCUAUAUAUUGGUUAGUUGUGUUUAUAGUUAAUGCAGAUAGAUGUUUUUUUCUGGUUAUAUAUAUCUUAUUACGGAAUCUUAAAAUAAUUUCAGGUAGUCUAAUGGAUACGUAUGGAAACAUCAAUAAGCUUUGUGCAGGAUCAUGUUCUUGAAGAUUGCAUGGUGGUGUUGAACCAGGAUCAGAGGACCCGGUAUGGGAAGGUACGGUGGCCGCCAUACCUUCAUUUUGUAACAAGUAACUCAGGACUUCGACUGUUUGUCGCUGGCGCAUGGGAGCUCCAACUCCAACAUUUUGAGCAGAGAAACAGGGUGCAGGGAGGAAGAAAAACAGUAUUGGACUAUGUGAACCGUUGUGUGCGCUGAACUAAGCUGACGAAUGGGCUCUUUUUUGUUCUGUACAUCUAUGUUCUGUACCUCUAUGUUCUAUGGAUACGUAUGGAAACAUCAAUAAGCUCUGUGCUUGAUGGAUUAUUACAUUUUGAAAUGUAUAUUACAUACUACUUUUAAUUUGAAUCUUAAUCUUUCGACAAA